CCAUGUCCCCUGGGUCCUUUGACUUCUCCCCUUAGGCUUAUGCUCAUAUCUUCUUUCUCCCACCAGGAGAAGCGGCUGAGGACGCGUUCCCCCUGACAGAGCCGGACAGGCAGCCUGGUGCCUGAGGGACACGGUCUUGUGGCUUCUACCAGUCGAUAGACGCAGCCGGGACUGAGCGUGCUACCCUGUCCAAAGAAGCCGCCAUCUCCUUGGAGGAAGAUGGAACUUGAAUUGGAGUUCUAAGUCAGAGCCUUCUAUUGACCAGCCAAAAGUUCCCUGGAUUGAAGGCCAGCGGAGGGAAAUCAUUGAUUCUCCAACAUCCCCUCGGAGGGGAAAGUAAAUUGGGAAAGGUAUUGUGUG
RNAcentral lists this long non-coding RNA (360 nucleotides) under Vombatus ursinus (common wombat). RNAcentral's name for it is "lncRNA (ENSVURG00010014680.1)". The record is from RNAcentral. Lineage: Eukaryota; Metazoa; Chordata; Mammalia; Diprotodontia; Vombatidae.